This 500-nucleotide long non-coding RNA is filed under the name Rattus norvegicus (Norway rat). Its description in RNAcentral is "long non-coding RNA NONRATT010883". The record is from RNAcentral. Lineage: Eukaryota; Metazoa; Chordata; Mammalia; Rodentia; Muridae.
AAACCACAGAGCCUCGGCAGCAGGUGCAUCCGCCAGGUAGCUUGAGUGUGGCCUGAUGCCCAAGCACAGACUAAGUCUACUGCUUAUUAGACUUAAGAAUCCACACCCUUCAUGUCUAAAGCCACAGGUUUUUGUGGCCAUCAACAGAACUCAGUACAACCCAAGAGUGAAGCUCAGAUCUGGUUGUUUCUGCUCCUGUGUGCCUGACUUCAGUCUGGACUAUAAAAGCAAUCGAAUGAUACUAAAGCACCAACAGCAGAGGGUGAAAUGGGAGGGAGCAUCUGAAAGAGAGAACUGAGAAACAGUAAUGGAGCGAGGACUGAGCAUCCUUUAAAGUGGUCUGAGCUUGAGGAGCAGGCUAGGAAAACAAGCAGGAUACAGAAGACUUUACACAGACAUGAGAUGUACGCACUGAAUGUUCGCACUAGGUGUCAGCGCUUACAGUGGUAGGGAAGGGGUUCAAAAGUGGUGGGGGGGAACCUCUCUUAUUCCAGCUCUAU